AACGCACGAGACCUGCGGACCUGCGGAGGGAUCAUUAAUGAGAAGCUGCCCCUCGUGGGUAGGCCUCCCACCCUCUGUGAACUUACCUUUGUUGCUUUGGCAGGCCCGUCCUCUGGACCGCCGGCUUCGGCUGGCCCGUGCCUGCCAGAGGAUUCCAAACCCUGUCUGUCAGUGUUGUCUGAGUCUAUAUGAAAUCGUUAAAACUUUUAGCAACGGAUCUCUAGAUCGGAAGAGCACACG
RNAcentral lists this unclassified non-coding RNA (240 nucleotides) under soil metagenome. RNAcentral's name for it is "partial contains 5.8S ribosomal RNA, internal transcribed spacer 2, and large subunit ribosomal RNA". The record is from RNAcentral.